RNAcentral lists this ribosomal RNA (253 nucleotides) under uncultured bacterium. RNAcentral's name for it is "partial 16S ribosomal RNA". It matches the Rfam family "Bacterial small subunit ribosomal RNA", at positions 524 to 776 of the family's 1533-position model. The record is from RNAcentral.
UACGUAGGUGGCAAGCGUUGUCCGGAUUUACUGGGCGUAAAGAGCGCGCAGGCGGUCGUUCAAGUCGCGUGUGAAAGCCCCCGGCUCAACUGGGGAGGGUCACGCGAUACUGAUCGACUCGAAGGCAGGAGAGGGAAGUGGAAUUCCCGGUGUAGUGGUGAAAUGCGUAGAUAUUCGCAAGAACACCAGUGGCGAAGGCGGCUCACUGGCCCGAUACUGACGCUGAGGUGCGAAAGCGUGGGGAGCAAACAGG